UGCGAGUCAGAACGCCCCGCAAGGGGAGUGGCAGACGGGUGAGUAACGCGUGGGAAUCUACCGUGCCCUGCGGAAUAGCUCCGGGAAACUGGAAUUAAUACCGCAUACGCCCUACGGGGGAAAGAUUUAUCGGGGUAUGAUGAGCCCGCGUUGGAUUAGCUAGUUGGUGGGGUAAAGGCCUACCAAGGCGACGAUCCAUAGCUGGUCUGAGAGGAUGAUCAGCCACAUUGGGACUGAGACACGGCCCAAACUCCUACGGGAGGCAGCAGUGGGGAAUAUUGGACAAUGGGCGCAAGCCUGAUCCAGCCAUGCCGCGUGAGUGAUGAAGGCCUUAGGGUUGUAAAGCUCUUUCACCGGAGAAGAUAAUGACGGUAUCCGGAGAAGAAGCCCCGGCUAACUUCGUGCCAGCAGCCGCGGUAAUACGAAGGGGGCUAGCGUUGUUCGGAAUUACUGGGCGUAAAGCGCACGUAGGCGGAUAUUUAAGUCAGGGGUGAAAUCCCANAGCUCAACUCUGGAACUGCCUUUGAUACUGGGUAUCUUGA
Molecule: ribosomal RNA, 542 nt
Filed under: Agrobacterium sp. EA_R_62
Lineage: Bacteria; Pseudomonadati; Pseudomonadota; Alphaproteobacteria; Hyphomicrobiales; Rhizobiaceae
Description: bacterial SSU rRNA
Rfam family: Bacterial small subunit ribosomal RNA
Source: RNAcentral